CUUUACUGCUAAUAUAAGUAAUGUUUGUCAACUUCUUACCUAAUAAACAAUUUAGGGCAGUCAUUUCUGCUUAAAAGUGUUCUUUAAUUUGUUAAAACUAGUUGCCUGCAGAUUGUUUUAUGAAUCCAUUGUCAAAUUAUGAAAGUUAAAGUGCAAUAACGUUUGAAGACUAUAAGUGAUGGUGUAUCUUGUUUGUCACAAGAUAAAUGUUUUUGUCUUUAUGUCAGAGAUUUUCAACUGU
Long non-coding RNA from Myotis davidii, 241 nucleotides. RefSeq lists it as uncharacterized. Lineage: Eukaryota; Metazoa; Chordata; Mammalia; Chiroptera; Vespertilionidae. The transcript is spliced from 4 exons. The record is from RefSeq and is a predicted model, not a curated record.